GACGAACGCUGGCGGCGUGCCUAACACAUGCAAGUCGAACGGGGUCCAUGGGAGCUUGCUCCCGGAAGACCUAGUGGCGAACGGGUGAGUAACACGUGAGAAACCUGCCCUGGAGUGGGGAAUAACUCGGGGAAACUCGAGCUAAUACCGCAUACCCUCGGAUGGUCGCAUGGCCGACCGAGGAAAGAUUUAUCGCUUCAGGAGGGUCUCGCGGCCUAUCAGCUAGUUGGUGGGGUAACGGCCUACCAAGGCAACGACGGGUAGCUGGUUUGAGAGAACGAUCAGCCACACUGGGACUGAGACACGGCCCAGACUCCUACGGGAGGCAGCAGUGGGGAAUCUUGCGCAAUGGGCGAAAGCCUGACGCAGCAACGCCGCGUGCGGGAUGACGGCCUUCGUGGUUGUAAACCGCUUUCAGCAGGGACGAAAAUGACGGUACCUGCAGAAGAAGCCCCGGCGUAACCUACGUGCCAGCAGCCGCGGUAAU
RNAcentral lists this ribosomal RNA (487 nucleotides) under uncultured bacterium. Its description in RNAcentral is "bacterial SSU rRNA". It matches the Rfam family "Bacterial small subunit ribosomal RNA", at positions 28 to 524 of the family's 1533-position model. The record is from RNAcentral.